AUGCAUUGGAUCUUCUACUGGAAAAAUAAAAUUAUGCAUAUGGUCAACUAUUUGGCCCAAUUGACAAAUAAAUUUUAAUCACAGAAUGAUCAUUCCUUCAAAACAGGUUCUUCACCAGCACCCCCGCUUUUCAGGAAUUCUUCCCCAAGUUCAAGGGGAUGACUUCGGCUGAUCAGCUCAAGAAAUCCGCGGACGUGCGCUGGCACGCCGAGAGGAUCAUCAACGCCGUCAACGAUGCCAUGACGUCCAUGGAUGACACCGAGAAGAUGAGCAUGAAGCUAAGGGAUCGAGUGGCAAGCAUGCCAUAAGCUUCCAGGUGGACCCCCAGUACUCCAAGGUCCUGGCCGCGGUCAUUGCUGACACCGUUGCCGCAGGCGAUGCCGGCUUCGAGAAGCUCAUGAGCAUGAUUUGCAUUCUGCUCAGGUCUGCCUACUAAACCAA
This is a non-coding RNA of Petromyzon marinus (sea lamprey), 441 nucleotides long. The record is from RefSeq and is a predicted model, not a curated record. NCBI's taxonomy places the organism in Eukaryota, Metazoa, Chordata, Hyperoartia, Petromyzontiformes, Petromyzontidae.